RNAcentral lists this ribosomal RNA (464 nucleotides) under Stenotrophomonas sp. S39. RNAcentral's name for it is "bacterial SSU rRNA". It matches the Rfam family "Bacterial small subunit ribosomal RNA", at positions 1 to 459 of the family's 1533-position model. The record is from RNAcentral. Lineage: Bacteria; Pseudomonadati; Pseudomonadota; Gammaproteobacteria; Lysobacterales; Lysobacteraceae.
UAAGUGAAGAGUUUGAUCCUGGCUCAGAGUGAACGCUGGCGGUAGGCCUAACACAUGCAAGUCGAACGGCAGCACAGUAAGAGCUUGCUCUUACGGGUGGCGAGUGGCGGACGGGUGAGGAAUACAUCGGAAUCUACUUUUUCGUGGGGGAUAACGUAGGGAAACUUACGCUAAUACCGCAUACGACCUACGGGUGAAAGCAGGGGACCUUCGGGCCUUGCGCGAUUGAAUGAGCCGAUGUCGGAUUAGCUAGUUGGCGGGGUAAAGGCCCACCAAGGCGACGAUCCGUAGCUGGUCUGAGAGGAUGAUCAGCCACACUGGAACUGAGACACGGUCCAGACUCCUACGGGAGGCAGCAGUGGGGAAUAUUGGACAAUGGGCGCAAGCCUGAUCCAGCCAUACCGCGUGGGUGAAGAAGGCCUUCGGGUUGUAAAGCCCUUUUGUUGGGAAAGAAAUCCAGCCGG